Molecule: ribosomal RNA, 804 nt
Filed under: Triticum aestivum (bread wheat)
Lineage: Eukaryota; Viridiplantae; Streptophyta; Magnoliopsida; Poales; Poaceae
Description: partial small subunit ribosomal RNA
Source: RNAcentral
AUGACCAAUGAAGAGGUUGACCAUAUGUACGGUCACUGCUCUAACCUCACAUCAGAUGGCGUGAACCGGCACCAAGGCAACUUCACAGAUGGCGUUGUUGUUGCACGCGACAACCUCCCAAUGUAUGUGGACUGGCGCAUGAUGGGGUAUGAUCAACGCCCAUCGGCGGUGACAAGCAUGAAGCGGCAAAAUGGUUGUCGGGCCUGUUGGGCCUUUGCGGCGACGGCGGCCGUGGAGGGCAUCAACUCCAUUAGGACAAGGAAUUUGAUUCCAUUGUCCGCGCAACAACUCGUAGACUGCGACAAGAAAUAUUUCGGCUGCCGUGGCGGCAACGCGCAAUUGGCCUUCAAGUACAUAGUGGAAAACGGCGGCAUCACCAGCGAUGCUAACUACCCGUAUGUUGCCUUUGAGCAGGGUCGUUGCUUAGUGCCAAAAAAGAACCCCAUCAUCACCAUCGACGACUUCAGACGGGUGCCGCCAAAUGAUGAACUAGCCUUGAUGCAGGCGGUGGCGUCCCAACCAGUCGUUGUGGUAGUCGACCCGAAUGGCUUCCGGCGAUAUGGGGGAGGCGUAUUUGUGGGGCCGUGUGGGACGAAUCUGACCCAUGAAAUGACAGUGGUGGGCUACGGCACCACCGAUGAGCAUGACCCCAAGAGACGUUUAGACUACUGGAUCAUAAAGAACUCAUGGGGGGCAAAAUGGGGUGAAAACGGUUACAUCCGCAUGGCACGCAGCGUGAGCGGUCUCACCAGGGAGGGAUUAUGUGGCAUCCUGAUGGAAGCGUCAUACCCAGUGAAAAAUUAA